Molecule: unclassified non-coding RNA, 405 nt
Filed under: soil metagenome
Description: partial contains 5.8S ribosomal RNA, internal transcribed spacer 2, and large subunit ribosomal RNA
Rfam family: 5.8S ribosomal RNA (bases 1-121)
Source: RNAcentral
GAUGAAGAACGUAGCGAAAUGCGAUAAGUAAUGUGAAUUGCAGAAUUCAGUGAAUCAUCGAAUCUUUGAACGCACCUUGCGCCCUUUGGCCAUUCCGAAGGGCAUGCCUGUUUGAGUAUCAUGAACACCUCAACUCUUUAUGGUUUUCCAUGAUGAGCUUGGACUCUGGGGGUUUUGCUGGCUCACAGUCGGCUCCUCUAAAAUGAAUCAGCUUACCAGUGUUUGGUGGGUAUCAUGGGUGUGAUAACUAUCUACUCUUGUGGUUUUUCCACCAGGUAACCUUCAGCAGUGGAGGUUCGCUGGAGCUCAUAGAUGUCUCUCCUCAGUGAGGACAGCCCUUUGAAUGUUUGAUCUCAAAUCAGGUAGGACUACCCGCUGAACUUAAGCAUAUCAAUAAGCGGAGGA